RNAcentral lists this unclassified non-coding RNA (241 nucleotides) under plant metagenome. Its description in RNAcentral is "partial contains small subunit ribosomal RNA, internal transcribed spacer 1, and 5.8S ribosomal RNA". The record is from RNAcentral.
UUUCCGUAGGUGAACCUGCGGAAGGAUCAUUAAAGAGUAAGGGUCUUCGGGCCCGAUCUCCAACCCUUUGUUUAACUACCAUGUUGCUUUGGCGGGCCCGUCUCACGACCGCCGGAAGUAUGGCUUCGACCAAACUUCUGGCCCGUGCCCGUCAGUGGCCCCUUCAAAUUCUUGAUCAAGUAUGAUGUCUUAGUUAAAAACUUAAUAGUUAAAACUUUCAACAACGGAUCUCUUGGUUCUG